This 203-nucleotide long non-coding RNA is filed under the name Mytilus galloprovincialis (Mediterranean mussel). The record is from RNAcentral. Lineage: Eukaryota; Metazoa; Mollusca; Bivalvia; Mytilida; Mytilidae.
CUUAGUAUUUUCUUAUUUUGAAAAUUGGUUGUAGAAAUACAUACAUGUAUCUAAAAAUAUUUCAGCACUUAUUAUUACCCAGAAUUUUACAUACAAAUACAUUUUAUAUAGAAUUUUAACAGAAACAAGUCACAUAUCUAUAUAGAUAGACUAAAGCAAAACGAAACAAGUCUAUGUACUUGCUGUAAUUAGGAAGAGGAACC